This is a long non-coding RNA of Carassius carassius (crucian carp), 1566 nucleotides long. RefSeq lists it as uncharacterized. The record is from RefSeq and is a predicted model, not a curated record. Lineage: Eukaryota; Metazoa; Chordata; Actinopteri; Cypriniformes; Cyprinidae. The transcript has 3 exons.
UUGAUAAGAUUACAAGAAAACCUAAAUACUGAGAUGCCAGCAAGACCACAGACACCACGAGUAAGUUACUAUUCUACAUGUGUUUAAAAAUAUGUGGACACCUUUACUCAUUAUUAUUUACUAUUGUAAUUAUUUAAUGGGAUGUACGGAAGAGCUUAGUGACUUUGACAUUUUCUUAUAUUUAUGCAUUUGGUUGUUAUUACAAAGCAACUUUAUUGCAUUCCCAUUUUUAAUGCGAUGCUCAGUUAGGAGUGAUGGUAAGGUCAGGUGUCCACAUAUGUUUAGCUGAACUAUAUUGUUAUCUUUGCAAAUCAUUGAGCUGUAUUUACCAUACUAACAUGCAUCUUUCUGGAAACUUUUUUGUAGGACUUCCUGUUGAUAUUCCACCUGGAUCAAUCUCAAGACAACAUAUUGCUUGUUUGUAGCAAAAAAGAAAAAAAUUACUUUAGACCAGAGAUUUUUUCUUUGACAGGACAAAGCAAUCAAGAUCAAAAACAAUUCAAGGUCUGUUUGAUUAAAUGCACAUAUACAUGCUAAUGUCCAUGCAUUAAGUUUAUAAUUUUAGAGAAUGAUGAGGGUAAAAAUGUUUUUCUCUAUUUUCAGGUAUGCAACAGGUGAACACAAGUUGUUUUCAGCCCUUUUUACCAAAUACCAGCUUUUGAGAGAAAAGACUGGCAGAGGAUGUGCUUAAAAACAAAUUCAAAAAAGAAAGAUCACCUUUGAUUAAUGUUGAAGAAAAAAUGACAUUUGCUUCAGGUUCAGUAAAGUAAGAAAACAGAUCAUUUUACCAGGAGUCCAUCAAAAAUAUCGCAACCAUUGUAGAGGUAGGUUUGCUAAAAAUAAUGUGACACUUCAAUACUUACAUUUCUAUUAUCCCGUGAGAAUGUUUCAUGUAUAUGUUUAUUUAUUUAUUUUGCAGGAUCUAUCUGGUCAAGAUUUGUAUUAAAAGAGGUCAAGGUCAGUUACAGACAGAGUCUGGUGGCACAAACAGAGAUCAAUGAGCGCUAAAGAAGAGCAGCUGGGGAGAUAUUGUUACUGAGCUGGAUGAAGAAAAACAAAUCUGUGUUGAUUUGGCACACAAAGAUGUCAGUGGUUGCUGCUGUCCUGCUGUUUCCACUUCUAUUAAAGCAGAGUCUGAGAUCUCUUUGUGUCAUCAGUGAGGAACCAGAUACACCCAAGCCUGUGCUGUUUAUAAAGGGACAUGCCUUGGGUGUGGAGUCUCUUUAAGAAAUAAUGCUGGAAGUGGAGGAGGAGGUCUGUGAAGUACAUGAUGUGAACACAGCUCUACACUUCAACUUCAACACUGAAUAAGCUUCAAAGUUGAGAGACACCCUGACUUCUACUGAAAACUGUUUAAUGUAUCAUAAUGCCAAAACCAAUAUGCCACCCACAAUGGCCAAUUAUUAUUAUUUGUUUUAUUAAAUUAAUGUGUAUGUAUAUAAAUGCAUGAUAUUUAUUGUUGUUUAUGUAUGUGUUUGUUAGUUUGUUUGUAAUACAUAUUUAUCGAUGAUUGUUUAUUUAUUUGUGUUUGUUGGUUUGUUUGUAAUACAUAUUUAUGUAUUAAAC